Molecule: ribosomal RNA, 472 nt
Filed under: uncultured bacterium
Lineage: Bacteria
Description: bacterial SSU rRNA
Rfam family: Bacterial small subunit ribosomal RNA
Source: RNAcentral
AUUGAACGCUGGCGGCAUGCCUUACACAUGCAAGUCGAACGGCAGCACGGGAGCAAUCCUGGUGGCGAGUGGCGAACGGGUGAGUAAUAUAUCGGAACGUGCCCAGUCGUGGGGAUAACGUAGCGAAAGCUACGCUAAUACCGCAUACGAUCUAUGGAUGAAAGCGGGGGAUCGCAAGACCUCGCGCGAUUGGAGCGGCCGAUAUCAGAUUAGGUAGUUGGUGAGGUAAAGGCUCACCAAGCCGACGAUCUGUAGCUGGUCUGAGAGGACGACCAGCCACACUGGGACUGAGACACGGCCCAGACUCCUACGGGAGGCAGCAGUGGGGAAUAUUGGACAAUGGGCGAAAGCCUGAUCCAGCAAUGCCGCGUGAGUGAUGAAGGCCUUAGGGUUGUAAAGCUCUUUUACCCGGGAUGAUAAUGACAGUACCGGGAGAAUAAGCUCCGGCUAACUCCGUGCCAGCAGCCGCGGU